UAUGAGACCCUGGAUCAUUCGGACGAAUGGAUUACUGAUUGCCUUAAUGAUAAUGAGAUGCAUUUCAGCUCUGAUACUAUGAAUACUUCUGGCACAUCUGAUUUUCAAAUUGAUAUCGCAGAGUUUUGCGAGAUUGCACCCGAGUAUGAAAAUAAUUUUCCACAACAACGUGUUUCUACUCCACAGAAGAUAGUUUUCAAAGGUA
Molecule: long non-coding RNA, 205 nt
Organism: Humulus lupulus (European hop)
Lineage: Eukaryota; Viridiplantae; Streptophyta; Magnoliopsida; Rosales; Cannabaceae
Exons: 3
Source: RefSeq, a predicted model, not a curated record